AGAGCGAACGCUGGCGGCAGGCUUAACACAUGCAAGUCGAGCGCCCCGCAAGGGGAGCGGCAGACGGGAGAGUAACACGUGGGAACGUACCUUUCGGUUCGGAACAACCCAGGGAAACUUGGGCUAAUACCGGAUACGUCCGUAAGGAGAAAGAUUUAUCGCCGAAAGAUCGGCCCGCGUCUGAUUAGCUAGUUGGUGAGGUAACGGCUCACCAAGGCGACGAUCAGUAGCUGGUCUGAGAGGAUGAUCAGCCUCACUGGGACUGAGACACGGCCCAGACUCCUACGGGAGGCAGCAGUGGGGAAUAUUGGACAAUGGCGCAAGCCUGAUCCAGCCAUGCCGCGUGGGUGAUGAAGGCCCUAGGGUUGUAAAGCCCUUUCGGCGGGGAAGAUAAUGACGGUACCGCGGAAGAAGCCCCGGCUAACUUCGUGCCAGCAGCCGC
Molecule: ribosomal RNA, 442 nt
Filed under: uncultured bacterium
Lineage: Bacteria
Description: SSU rRNA
Rfam family: Bacterial small subunit ribosomal RNA
Source: RNAcentral